GGCGCGGCCGUCCGGCGGGGCUCUYUBAUUAGGGCYGUUUGUCCGGUUUUYCGGCCGCUCCAUUCUCGGGUAGCGUGUCGCUGGCAUUAGGUUGUCGGCUUCUUCGCGCCCGUCGUUUACUGUGAAAAAAUU
Molecule: ribosomal RNA, 132 nt
Filed under: Saccharina latissima
Lineage: Eukaryota; Phaeophyceae; Laminariales; Laminariaceae
Description: nuclear SSU rRNA
Source: RNAcentral